CUUGUUGGUGGGGUAAUGGCCUACCAAGGCUUUGACGGGUAGCCGGCCUGAGAGGGCGACCGGCCACACUGGGACUGAGACACGGCCCAGACUCCUACGGGAGGCAGCAGUGGGGAAUAUUGCACAAUGGGCGAAAGCCUGAUGCAGCGACGCCGCGUGAGGGAUGACGGCCUUCGGGUUGUAAACCUCUUUCAGCAGGGACGAAGCGCAAGUGACUGUACCUGCAGAAGAAGCACCGGCUAACUACGUGCCAGCAGCCGCGGUAAUACGUAGGGUGCGAGCGUUGUCCGGAUUUAUUGGGCGUAAAGAGCUUGUAGGCGGCUCGUCACGUCGGGUGUGAAAACCCGCGGCUCAACCGCGGGCCUGCACCCGAUACGGGCGGGCUAGAGUUCGGCAGGGGAGACUGGAAUUCCUGGUGUAGCGGUGGAAUGCGCAGAUAUCAGGAGGAACACCGGUGGCGAAGGCGGGUCUCUGGGCCGAUACUGACGCUGAGAAGCGAAAGCGUGGGGAGCGAACAGGAUUAGAUACCCUGGUAGUCCACGCCGUAAACGUUGGGAACUAGGUGUGGGGUCCAUUCCACGGGCUCUGUGCCGCAGCUAACGCAUUAAGUUCCCCGCCUGGGGAGUACGGCCGCAAGGCUAAAACUCAAAGGAAUUGACG
This 660-nucleotide ribosomal RNA is filed under the name uncultured Actinomycetes bacterium. RNAcentral's name for it is "SSU rRNA". It matches the Rfam family "Bacterial small subunit ribosomal RNA", at positions 245 to 915 of the family's 1533-position model. Lineage: Bacteria; Bacillati; Actinomycetota; Actinomycetes. The record is from RNAcentral.